Suricata suricatta (meerkat) is the source of this 766-nucleotide long non-coding RNA. RefSeq lists it as uncharacterized. The transcript has 3 exons. NCBI's taxonomy places the organism in Eukaryota, Metazoa, Chordata, Mammalia, Carnivora, Herpestidae. The record is from RefSeq and is a predicted model, not a curated record.
CCGAGCUCCAUCACUGCUCUCUGGGUUCAAGCCCAGGGUGGGGGUGGGGCGAGAGGAACAGCAGAGCUGCCUUGCAGGUCACUGGGCAAAUGCUUCACUGCUUUCUGAGGCGAGUCCAAGUCUGGAAAGAGAACGUUAAGAAGAAAUUUCCAUAGCCCUUCCCCCUGCCGGGGAUUUUCCACUGUGCCUGGGCGGACAUGCCUCUCGGUUUUCCCAGUGAGGGGAUCUGGCAAUCCAUGGGUCUUACUGAACAAACAGCUCAGCUCAGUACUAGGAGGCAGACGAGGCUGCAUGUGACCAGACCAUCUUUCAGCGCUGAAUCUUCCUGAAUCUUGCUGAAUCUUGCUGAGUCUUGCUGAAUCUUCCUGAGUCAUGCCUUUUAACUGGGACUCAGGAUGCUGGGAACCCUGGAGCUGCAGAAGACUGCACAGGGAGCCCACACGCAGCCCCACGAUGGCCACGGCAAAGUGGAGAGGUUCCGUCUGUACCACAAUUUGGCGUCUCCAGAUCAAGUCAUGCCUGGAGUUUUCAGUUUCCUAAGCCAGCACUUCCCUUCUUAGCAUAAACCAGUUUGAGUCAGGUUUUCUGUUAUCUGCAUCAGAAAAAGUCUGAAAUUCACAUGGUAAACUUUCUUUUCUAUAAACUUGAGUUUGCUCAUCUGCAACAUGGAGAUAACUGUUAAUAGUGUCUUUCAGGAGCAAAGGACUGUUCUGGAAUGAUGAAAAGGGCUGUUCAGGGUUCAAUACAAUAUAAAUAUAAAACCUGA